GCUCAUCGCAUCCUGGGGCUGUAGCAGGUCCCAAGGGUUGGGCUGUUCGCCCAUUAAAGCGGUACGCGAGCUGGGUUCAGAACGUCGUGAGACAGUUCGGUCCCUAUCCGGCGCAGGCGAAGGAUAUCUGAGAGGAGCUGUCCUUAGUACGAGAGGACCGGGAUGGACGGACCGCUGGUGCACCUGCUGGCCUGCCAGGGCCAUAACAGGGUAGCCAAGUCCGGAAGGGAUAAACGCUGAAGGCAUCUAAGCGUGAAGCCCCCCUCAAGAUGAGAUAUCCCAAUACGUAAGACCCCUUGGAGAGUACGAGGUAGAUAGGCUUAAGGUGGAAGCACAGCAAUGUGUUGAGCUGAUAAGUACUAAUCGGUCGAGGGCUUAACCAAG
Molecule: ribosomal RNA, 384 nt
Filed under: Lachnospiraceae bacterium
Lineage: Bacteria; Bacillati; Bacillota; Clostridia; Lachnospirales; Lachnospiraceae
Description: partial 23S ribosomal RNA
Rfam family: Bacterial large subunit ribosomal RNA
Source: RNAcentral